GUGUUCAUAUUGUACUGCAAAACACUGUUGCUUCUAUUGAGGUGGGAUAUGGGUAUGGUUGGGGACAGGUUUGGUGCUAGGUUUAAGAGUGGGUUAAGGCAUAAAGAAUGGUACAACAAUUUAAUUAUAAAUGUAGUUACAGAAAGUUAUUAGUAUCAUUUAUAAAUUUAGGUAGAUAGUAGUUAAGGCCACUUGACAAAGUGGAACCGAUAUAUAUAUAUAAUAUGUUUUUUUAUUUUUAUUGUAGCAGAAAUGAGUCAAAUCAGACAAAUCAAAGAGUCUAUCAGAGCUGUGUGCAUUGAAACAUGAGCUGAAUUCCUCAAGGAAGUCAUAAAUCAGUUCUAGUGCCACAGGAACCAAGCAAGAUAACCAACCAACCAACUUGUUCACACAACAGCUUUCAACAUUAACACCAAUAGAACAAUUAUUGACAAUUUUAAUUCGAAGAAGAGAUUGUCAAAUUUAUUGUUCGUGAUUGGAAUGCAACGCUGGACAUCACAUGUAAACCCAGGAGAUCAAGUUAAAUACUUGCAUUGACUUCCCCCCCCAGCCAGUGAAACCAGACUGAAAUUCCUAAGGGGGAAGGGCUUUAAACCUUUGUCUUCACAGAAAAGUCCUUUGCCAGAGAAUGGCAAAGAAACCCUUUUUAUACAUUAUAUAUGGACCAGAAUGAACUCAAAAAAGACUUAUGAAUGAAUCAUUCCAUUGCUUAACUCCAUAUUCAUUUACGUGUAACCCACACAUUUGACUAUCAUGUAUAAUCACUUAUUGUGUAUGUCUUUUGAUAACUAUAGGAUACCUAGUCAUGUCUAGUAUUCAAAUAAUCGCAUUUUCUUGCUUGAUAUUGUCCUGACAAUCAUUUAUUUGUAAAAUAUAUCAUAAUCAUGUUAUAGGAAUCAUGUCCAAAAUUAGACCCUGUGAGGCAAGAACCACAUGCUUGGUAAGAUAAACAAAUGAUUUAUGAUACCCACCCAAAGAACAUAUCUGAUUGGUCAAGGCAACAUUUGAGGGGUGGCCAACAAGGAAGUUUUAAAUACUUUGGACCCCAUGAAAUUUUGCUUUUAGUCUGCUAUCAGUCAUGCCUGCUCUUAGCUUGUA
RNAcentral lists this long non-coding RNA (1098 nucleotides) under Carassius auratus (goldfish). RNAcentral describes it as "lncRNA (ENSCARG00000005948.1)". The record is from RNAcentral. Lineage: Eukaryota; Metazoa; Chordata; Actinopteri; Cypriniformes; Cyprinidae.